UACGUAGGUGGCAAGCGUUAUCCGGAAUUAUUGGGCGUAAAGAGCGCGCAGGUGGUUGAUUAAGUCUGAUGUGAAAGCCCACGGCUUAACCGUGGAGGGUCAUUGGAAACUGGUCGACUUGAGUGCAGAAGAGGGAAGUGGAAUUCCAUGUGUAGCGGUGAAAUGCGUAGAGAUAUGGAGGAACACCAGUGGCGAAGGCGGCUUCCUGGUCUGUAACUGACACUGAGGCACGAAAGCGUGGGGAUCAAACAGGAUUAGAUA
Molecule: ribosomal RNA, 261 nt
Filed under: uncultured prokaryote
Description: partial 16S ribosomal RNA
Rfam family: Bacterial small subunit ribosomal RNA
Source: RNAcentral